CUUCUGCGUGUCAGACGCUUUAGGAACCAGACACAUGGAGACCUCUGUCUGUCCUUGUGGGUGAGGGACAGGAUAGCGUUCUCUUGCUGCUAACCCUGAAAGAUCCAGGUACAGGGCAGGUCCCCAUGCCUAGCAGAAUAGAACAAGGAAGAGACAUGAGAGCUUGAAAUGUGUGUGGUGCCCGCAUCUUUUUAAAUCAGGAACUCCAAAGUCUUGGCAGUCGCUGUAAGGAAAGAUCAAGACCCACAGCAAAACCAUCAUACUUGUGUUGGUAAUGGAACCAAUGUUUGCAAACUUGUGGUGAAAGCCAGUAGUUAAGGCUCUGCUCUGAAGUGGGAAAGGCUCAGGAAAGGACCGGAAAGAGUCCUGCUGGGGAUGGGCUCCCGUUAGCCUUUGCCUGCCACAAGUCAGGUCAGGUCAGAGGUAUUCCCAAGCAAUGUGGUGUUUGCUACACGGCAUGUGCUCCAGGGCAACUGAUUGACUCCAAUCAUUGUAGAUAAACUUUAUCCACUGGCAAAAUU
This is a long non-coding RNA of Mastomys coucha (southern multimammate mouse), 521 nucleotides long. RefSeq lists it as uncharacterized. The transcript has 3 exons. NCBI's taxonomy places the organism in Eukaryota, Metazoa, Chordata, Mammalia, Rodentia, Muridae. The record is from RefSeq and is a predicted model, not a curated record.